UACAGAGGUCUCAAGCGUUGUUCGGAUUCAUUGGGCGUAAAGGGUGCGUAGGCGGCGGGGUAAGUCAGGUGUGAAAUUUCGGAGCUUAACUCCGAAACUGCAUUUGAUACUGCCUUGCUUGAGGACUGGAGAGGAGACUGGAAUUCAUGGUGUAGCAGUGAAAUGCGUAGAGAUCAUGAGGAAGACCAGUGGCGAAGGCGGGUCUCUGGACAGUUCCUGACACUGAGGCACGAAGGCCAGGGGAGCAAACGGG
This 253-nucleotide ribosomal RNA is filed under the name uncultured bacterium. Its description in RNAcentral is "partial 16S ribosomal RNA". It matches the Rfam family "Bacterial small subunit ribosomal RNA", at positions 524 to 776 of the family's 1533-position model. The record is from RNAcentral.